Molecule: ribosomal RNA, 861 nt
Filed under: uncultured archaeon
Lineage: Archaea
Description: bacterial SSU rRNA
Rfam family: Archaeal small subunit ribosomal RNA
Source: RNAcentral
AGAGGCUACUGCUAUCGGAGUUCGAUUAAGCCAUGCGAGUCUAAAGGUUUCUUCGGAAACCUUGGCGAACUGCUCAGUAACACGUGGAUAACCUACCCUUGGGACUGGAAUAACCCCGGGAAACUGGGGAUAAUACCGGAUAGAUCAGGGAUGCUGGAAUGCACCUUGAUCCAAAGCUCCGGCGCCCAAGGAUGGGUCUGCGGCCUAUCAGGUAGUAGUGGGUGUAAUGUACCUACUAGCCAACGACGGGUACGGGUUGUGAGAGCAAGAACCCGGAGAUGGAUUCUGAGACACGAAUCCAGGCCCUACGGGGUGCAGCAGGCGCGAAACCUUUACAAUGUGCGAAAGCAUGAUAAGGGAACUCCGAGUGCCAGCAUCUAAUGUUGGCUGUCCUUGUGCCUAAAACGCACAAGAUAGCAAGGGCCGGGUAAGACCGGUGCCAGCCGCCGCGGUAACACCGGCGGCCCGAGUGGUAGCCGCUAUUAUUGGGUCUAAAGGGUCCGUAGCCGGUUCGAUAAGUCCUCUGGGAAAUCUGGUUGCUUAACAAUCAGACUGCCAAGGGAUACUGUCGAACUUGAGACCGGGAGAGGUAAGAGGUACUUCAGGGGUAGGAGUGAAAUCUUGUAAUCCCUGGGGGACCAUCUGUGGCGAAGGCGUCUUACCAGAACGGGUCUGACGGUGAGGGACGAAAGCUGGGGGUGCAAACCGGAUUAGAUACCCGGGUAGUCCCAGCCGUAAACGAUGCUCGCUAUGUGUCAGGUACGGUGUGACCGUAUCUGGUGCCGUAGGGAAGCCGUGAAGCGAGCCACCUGGGAAGUACGGCCGCAAGGCUGAAACUUAAAGGAAUUGGCGGGGGAGCAC